This is a long non-coding RNA of Cloeon dipterum, 406 nucleotides long. RefSeq lists it as uncharacterized. NCBI's taxonomy places the organism in Eukaryota, Metazoa, Arthropoda, Insecta, Ephemeroptera, Baetidae. The transcript is spliced from 3 exons. The record is from RefSeq and is a predicted model, not a curated record.
GUCGUCUAUCUAUCGGAUAAAAAGUCCCACGGAAACGCAGAUCUGUUCUCAUUGGAGCUGAAAAAUGAAAGAGGGGCAUCGAAAUACAAAGAAUCGGUUGCAUCCAAGGAUUCUUUUGAAUGGACCACAGCGAGAUUCAGAUCACGCAAUAUAAAACUAGGACAUUACUGGAAACUGACCUUGACUGCGCACGUUAAAUCGGUUGUGAUUGGAGGAGUAAGAUUCUGCAAGGAAGGGGAAUGGGUUUUUAAACCUAAAUUUGGAAAUCCGACAAGUUGCCAUUCAUUGGAGAAAAAGGCAAGAGAUGAUAAAGCGAUACCUGACGAACAUUUCAAUGAACUUCUCUAUGAACUGAGUGAGAGCAAAUUAUUAAAAGGAGGUUCAAAACUGUGUAAAGGAAUGAAUA